Molecule: transfer RNA, 75 nt
Filed under: Pythium insidiosum
Lineage: Eukaryota; Oomycota; Peronosporomycetes; Pythiales; Pythiaceae
Description: tRNA-Trp
Rfam family: tRNA
About the family: Transfer RNA (tRNA) molecules are approximately 80 nucleotides in length. Their secondary structure includes four short double-helical elements and three loops (D, anti-codon, and T loops).
Source: RNAcentral
GGGGGAAUAGCUCAGUGGUAGAGGCGCUGGAUUCCAGUCCCAGCGGUCCGUGGGUUCGAUCCCCUCUUCCUCUCA